This is a non-coding RNA of Mus caroli (Ryukyu mouse), 1196 nucleotides long. The record is from RefSeq and is a predicted model, not a curated record. Lineage: Eukaryota; Metazoa; Chordata; Mammalia; Rodentia; Muridae.
AAACGGAUGCUCCGGAUGGGAGCUCUAGCGGGCAUGGGAGCCAUUGGAGACAGUGCGGGGACUAGAUUCCAAACCUCCUGGCUGCGUGCCUGCUAUGAACCAAACAGUGCUUCUUGCGGUGCGGGGCAUGCAUGUGGAGGUCAGAGACAACUUGUGGGCGUUGGUUCUUUCCUUCUACCAUGAGGGUUCCAGGAAUCAAAACGACUUCAAGGAUCUCAAGUAACCAAGCCAUAUAUUGGUAAAAUAUAAAUAUUCUUAGACUCAGGCUUUGUUCUAAGGAGAGAACAGUAAUUCACCACAUGGUACAACUGGUGACAAUGAGACCGAGACGUUGUCAGCUGGUGUCCUGGCAUGGACAAGUACUGAGAUGCGUCCACUGAGUGACAGGAUGGCCCCGGCAGCUUGCACGGAGCAUCUGAGCCUGUGUGGCAGGUGAGGCGGGUGGCCCUUCAGAGCACACGGGGGAUGACAGUGAAGGGUACAGCAGGGCUGCUGGCCUCCAGUUCCAAGGCUGUCAGGAAGCACUCGGUGGCUGCUGCGUCGUUACCCUGAGCUUGGAGGACCUCGCCCAGCCCGUUCCAGACCUCGUGGGCUGUGGAAUUCACCUGCACUGCAUCCCGGAGAAUCUUCUCAGCUAGACUGUAGCGGCCCAGCUGGUGAAGGACCAGAGCCUGCGGAGACAGACAGUCAGACACUCAAGGAGGGCCAAGUACCUAUGUGACCUGGGCUCGGAGUUAGGAAUGUACCUCCUACUCUUGGCACACAUGUUCUUGCCAACUCCUGAACUUAGGAGCAGCAGCUGAAGACACUGUUUGACCACAUGAAACUACUGAAAUCCAUCUUUCAACUACAAGCAGGGCAGUUGUAGAUUGAUGUGUGGCUCACUGCGUUCAGGGGGCUGUAGAAGUAGUAGGUGAGGUGGUAACUCUGGGCUGCGGUAAGACCCUGCCUCAAAAACAAAGCAAGUGACACUGCCACCCAAAUCAGAAUAACAACUACACCACCCCCAAAUCAGAAACCAAAUGAAAGGCAGUUUUAUAUGACUUAUCUGAAAAUGUCUCAAGAAUCAACAAACUGGAACGGUCCACAGUAACUCAGUAUGGCUGACCUGUCGUGUCCUAGCCGGCACCAGCCUGUAUGGGAGGGCAUCUAUCAUCUGUGGCAUCACUGGAUAUGACAUUUAAAAAAAUAAUUCC